Molecule: non-coding RNA, 500 nt
Organism: Pelobates cultripes (western spadefoot toad)
Lineage: Eukaryota; Metazoa; Chordata; Amphibia; Anura; Pelobatidae
Source: the annotation of a GenBank genome assembly
UCCAAAAAAAAUAUACUAGCAGGCUGUCUAGAACUGGUUAGUAGGGAUCCAGAAAUACCUAUGGAAACUGUUAUAAAAAAGGGGCUACAGACCCAAAGAUUCAAAUAGGAUUCGAGGAUUGGAGGAAUUCCUGGAACCAGGUUUACUGAAAUGUACAUUGCCUUAACUUAGUAUAGUGCCACUACAAGCUCUUAAGUAGGUGGUAUUUAGUUUCAAGCAGAUUGUCUAAGAUUUAUCCAGAUCAGGUACAUAGUUGUUGCAGAUGUGGAGACCGUAAAGGAGAAUAUGGUGGGAAUGUCCGCCUAUCCAGCUGUUUUGGAGUUUGAUCGAGAGCAAAAUUCAGGCAUUAAUAAAUAAGUAUUUCAAAUUGGGUCCCGAUCUAUUUUUACUACAGCUUAACGCUAGACUAGCUUUUGGAAAUCAUACCCCCCGGUUACUCAUAUACUGCUAGCUGCAAAAAUCACAAUAGCUAGACAUUGUAAGUCACAUAUUGCUCCAAC